Molecule: ribosomal RNA, 332 nt
Filed under: uncultured bacterium
Lineage: Bacteria
Description: bacterial SSU rRNA
Rfam family: Bacterial small subunit ribosomal RNA
Source: RNAcentral
CGUGUAGGCGGGAAUGCAAGUCAGAUGUGAAAUACCGAGGCUUAACCUCGGGGCUGCAUCUGAAACUGUGUUUCUUGAGUGCUGGAGAGGAAAGCGGAAUUCCUAGUGUAGCGGUGAAAUGCGUAGAUAUUAGGAGGAACACCAGUGGCGAAGGCGGCUUUCUGGACAGUAACUGACGCUGAGGCUCGAAAGCGUGGGGAGCAAACAGGAUUAGAUACCCUGGUAGUCCACGCUGUAAACGAUGGAUACUAGGUGUAGGAGGUAUCGACCCCUUCUGUGCCGGAGUUAACACAAUAAGUAUCCCACCUGGGGAGUACGGCCGCAAGGUUGAA